GUCCAUUGCUAUGCUGGUUGCUUGGCUCUAUUUUACCUCGUAGCUGUCGCGAAGAAAGGAGGAUGCGGUCAAUUCUAGUUCACUGUGUAAAAGCUCGCUGUCCACACAAAAUUAUUAGCUUAGAAUUGCUCUCCAAGGACGGUGUUUUUGACUACCUUCUGCUUCAGAGGACCCGAAAAGACUGCGAAGUACUGUGCAGACACCCCUGAUCUUGACAAGAGGUGUAACAUUCUGAGAAAAUCACAAUUCAGGACUGAAUCCCACGGCUUUGUUGCAGACAGACAGUAGCUGAUUACUCACUGAUACACCAGAGGAGCAGCUCAAUGGCAGACACUGGGGGUCUACAGUAGCCUCAACAGCACUCUGUAGGGUAGCACCAUGGUGUGCCGGAGGACAGCUAGCUUCCGUCCUCCUCUUGGUACAUUGACUUCAAUACAAAACCUAGGAGGCUCUUGGUUCUCACCC
Molecule: long non-coding RNA, 465 nt
Filed under: Salmo salar (Atlantic salmon)
Lineage: Eukaryota; Metazoa; Chordata; Actinopteri; Salmoniformes; Salmonidae
Description: lncRNA (ENSSSAG00000089611.1)
Source: RNAcentral